This 500-nucleotide long non-coding RNA is filed under the name Androctonus crassicauda. Lineage: Eukaryota; Metazoa; Arthropoda; Arachnida; Scorpiones; Buthidae. The record is from RNAcentral.
AUCGGCUUACUAGCCAUCAUCAGCCGUUCUAAUUGAUUUACGAUCGAACACUAGAAUUUAGAACAUAAUAGAUACAAAAUUUAAAUUCAGUUCGUUUAUGCAACAUAAAUAAGCUAUUAUUACAAUUUUAAAAAAUUACAGCAUUUCUAAUAUUUUAUCAGAUUCUUUAUGUUAAUAAAAUCAAUUUCAUUUUUUAAAAAUUCAUUUCAGAGAAUACAACCACCUUUAAACAUUAGUUAUGCACUGCCUACCAAGGACAGAAGGUGCAUUAUUCUGGCUAUUUAUUUUCUAAGCAAAUACUCCCACGGUUUCGGGAGCUCCUCUACUUUCCUGUUAUUUAUAACUGCUUUUAACUUCCUCUCUUUUGCUAUUUGUAGGUUUUCUGCCACCAGUAAUUCUACUCUGCCUGUUGUUUGGUUAACUAUUUUGGCUUCUUGCCAGUUUAUGUGGACAUUGCUCUGGUAGGCUUUGGUCGCCAGUGCUGUAGUCAAGCUUGCCGU